This 477-nucleotide ribosomal RNA is filed under the name uncultured organism. RNAcentral's name for it is "partial 16S ribosomal RNA". It matches the Rfam family "Bacterial small subunit ribosomal RNA", at positions 332 to 800 of the family's 1533-position model. The record is from RNAcentral.
UACACUCCUACGGGAGGCAGCAGUGGGGAAUUUUGGACAAUGGGCGAAAGCCUGAUCCAGCAAUGCCGCGUGAGUGAAGAAGGCCUUCGGGUUGUAAAGCUCUUUUGUCAGGGAAGAAACGGUGAGAGCUAAUAUCUCUUGCUAAUGACGGUACCUGAAGAAUAAGCACCGGCUAACUACGUGCCAGCAGCCGCGGUAAUACGUAGGGUGCAAGCGUUAAUCGGAAUUACUGGGCGUAAAGCGUGCGCAGGCGGUUUUGUAAGUCUGAUGUGAAAUCCCCGGGCUCAACCUGGGAAUUGCAUUGGAGACUGCAAGGCUAGAAUCUGGCAGAGGGGGGUAGAAUUCCACGUGUAGCAGUGAAAUGCGUAGAUAUGUGGAGGAACACCGAUGGCGAAGGCAGCCCCCUGGGUCAAGAUUGACGCUCAUGCACGAAAGCGUGGGGAGCAAACAGGAUUAGAAACCCCAGUAGUCCCAUGA